RNAcentral lists this ribosomal RNA (514 nucleotides) under uncultured bacterium. RNAcentral describes it as "partial 16S ribosomal RNA". It matches the Rfam family "Bacterial small subunit ribosomal RNA", at positions 354 to 861 of the family's 1533-position model. The record is from RNAcentral.
UGGGGGAAUAUUGCACAAUGGGCGCAAGCCUGAUGCAGCCAUGCCGCGUGUGUGAAGAAGGCCUUCGGGUUGUAAAGCACUUUCAGCGAGGAGGAAGGUGGUGAGCUUAGUACGCUCAUCAAUUGACGUUACUCGCAGAAGAAGCACCGGCUAACUCCGUGCCAGCAGCCGCGGUAAUACGGAGGGUGCAAGCGUUAAUCGGAAUUACUGGGCGUAAAGCGCACGCAGGCGGUUUGUUAAGUCAGAUGUGAAAUCCCCGGGCUCAACCUGGGAACUGCAUUUGAAACUGGCAAGCUAGAGUCUCGUAGAGAGGGGUAGAAUUCCAGGUGUAGCGGUGAAAUGCGUAGAGAUCUGGAGGAAUACCGGUGGCGAAGGCGGCCCCCUGGACGAAGACUGACGCUCAGGUGCGAAAGCGUGGGGAGCAAACAGGAUUAAAUACCCUGGUAGUCCACGCUGUAAACGAUGUCGAUUUGGAGGUUGUGCCUUGAGGCGUGGCUUCCGGAGCUAACGCGUU